GGGCUGUCAAAACACGCGGCGGCGUGUUCAGUCCCAAUAACUCGCGUGAUGAUUAAUGAGCAGCUUGAUAAUUUAAUAUCGCGUGUGAUUAAAUUAUAAGGCGUGGGGGAGGGGAGCUCUGCGCCACCUCGGCAGCCCCGCCGACGCCGACCAGCUAACCGGACUGGGCUGCGCGCGGAGCCCCCUCUUCCCGUGCACAGUGCGGGGCGAGGCUUGGCGAGCGGUGGGUCUGCGCCUUCCCAAGAAGAGACUGGGGCAGCAUGAAUGUGCUGGAAGAUUAGAGGCUGCUGAUGCUGAAGGAAGGAGAAACGAGGAGGAAGUGUCCCUGUGGACAAGUCAUCUCCCUUCAUUUAAGCCAGGCCAGUAGUCCGGGAGACAUUCUGAAUGAUGCAUUAUCCUAGGCACCAGAAAGUAUCUAACAUUCUCAUGGACAGCAGGGAAAAAUGAGCACAUGAGACAGGGGAAGAUUCCAGCACCUGUGAACAUGUUUGUGCAGGUUUCCAGUCAGUACAUGGAUAUCCCUCAAGCCUUUGAAUCCAGUCUCCUGUGUUGUGAUUGGACCGUUUGUCAUUAGGUUUCCAGUGGCAGAGUAAUGCUGUGGGAGAACUGGCUACGAUGGCCGCAGGAGGUGAAUUAAGUAUUGUUGUGUUUUUAGUAGAACCACUAAAGGAAGAUCUGCAGGCAAGUUGGAUGAGUAUAAGAGCCAAAGAUUGACAAGACUUCCUCAGAUGCUCCUACUGACCAGUGGGGGCACUUCUACAGCUCCCCGAAUAUGUUCUCCCUGCAACCCCCACCACUUUUUAAUUAAAUGGCCAGAACUGCCUUUUUGUAUCAAAACUUAUUUUAGUCUAUCAAUCAAAGGCUUCUAUAGCCCACCUCAUGGCAAAGGAUAUCAGAGAGGUAAAAGAUAAUUGUUUUGACAUAUUUAUUAUCACAACUAGCGACUCUUUCUGCAUUCACAUUGGCUGGUAUGCAGAAAAGGGUGCUUUACAGGAUUCUUGGAAAUGUGUAGUGGAUGCUGGCUCUAGGGGAGGCAGAAUAGAGUGUGGGUUCUGCCAUGGGUCACAUCCGGGUUUUAAUUCUGCCUCUGCCACAUGACCUUGAGCACACUGGAAAACCCUAUUAGAUGUGCAAGAAGGCUUCCCCAUCUGUAAAGGUGGGUGACUUAGCAACUUUAGCAAUGCUUAAGUCACCCGGUUGUUGUGAGUAAUACAUAAGUUAAUGUAUGCUAACUUUCUAGAAAGUUUCCUGGCACAAAGUUGUAUUUAAUAAAUGAUUUUUAAAACAA
Molecule: long non-coding RNA, 1288 nt
Organism: Homo sapiens (human)
Lineage: Eukaryota; Metazoa; Chordata; Mammalia; Primates; Hominidae
Product: long intergenic non-protein coding RNA 237
Source: Ensembl